CCGUUUCAACGAAAACAACACAACAAUUUGAACAAACGCUUGUAAUGUAUUUUACAUCUUGAAAACGACCUGAUGUCAGAUGAAGAAGUCUGAAGAUGCCCUGGAUAUCUUGUCGCAGGAUGACCCAAACGAGCAUGCAUUCAGUAGAAAAAUGUUAUUGACAUCCCAAUCUUAAGUGGGAAGCUUCCAGGUAUCUUCCGCUAGUGACAGUCUACUGGCAAAUCCAGACAUGCAUUGGAAGUAUGUUGAUGUGGAGGACACAGGGACACCUGAUCCAAGAACUGUGACAUUUCAGUCGGAAUGACAACCUGUCAUUCAGUUGAUUUGGGACCUGAUUAUUCAGAGAAUUGCAGAUUUUAUGAAGCUGUUUUUGACAGAAGAUUUGGUUUUCUCCAUCUGUGUUGCCACCAACCAUUAUGCUGUGAUGGUCAUAUCUAGGGGUACGCUUGUCAUAUGCUCCCCAAGGAAGUUCGCAGCCUCUCACUGAAGAGGAACUGUACAGAUUUUUGGGCAUUAUCUUAUACAUGUCUGCUGAGAAGUUCCAGUCGAUACACAGAUAUUGGUCAACGCCUGCCACUAUCAGAACAACCCAGUAUCAAGAAUUAUGUCUAGAAAUAUGUUUUAAGAGGUUGAAAAUAAGAGCAUUUUAGUUAAAUAUAAUACAAGUACAUUUAAAUUUAGUGAUUGAAAGUAAGUACUGGAACAUUCGUAUACAUUGAACUUGGGGAGGAAAAACGGGCAUUACUUUCUCAUAACAUUUGAUAUCAUAACGGUGUUGUAGCUUAGCAACCAAAUAUAUUUGAAUAUAAAAAAUAGAUUAUUUUAGAUUUUAACAGAAAAGAUCUUUGUUUUAAUGUUGCAAUAUUUAUAUUAUUUAGUGGAACAUAAUGGCAAAACGUCA
This is a long non-coding RNA of Ostrea edulis (European flat oyster), 901 nucleotides long. RefSeq lists it as uncharacterized. The transcript is spliced from 4 exons. NCBI's taxonomy places the organism in Eukaryota, Metazoa, Mollusca, Bivalvia, Ostreida, Ostreidae. The record is from RefSeq and is a predicted model, not a curated record.